Molecule: ribosomal RNA, 497 nt
Filed under: uncultured bacterium
Lineage: Bacteria
Description: partial 16S ribosomal RNA
Rfam family: Bacterial small subunit ribosomal RNA
Source: RNAcentral
GAUGAACGCUGGCGGCGUGCCUAAUACAUGCAAGUCGAGCGAACAGACGAGGAGCUUGCUCCUCUGACGUUAGCGGCGGACGGGUGAGUAACACGUGGAUAACCUACCUAUAAGACUGGGAUAACUUCGGGAAACCGGAGCUAAUACCGGAUAAUAUAUUGAACCGCAUGGUUCAAUAGUGAAAGACGGUUUUGCUGUCACUUAUAGAUGGAUCCGCGCCGCAUUAGCUAGUUGGUAAGGUAACGGCUUACCAAGGCAACGAUGCGUAGCCGACCGGAGAGGGUGAUUGGCCACACCGGAUCUGAGAAGCGGUCCAGACUCCAACGGGAGGAAGCAGUAGGGAAUCUUCCGCAAUGGGCGAAAGCCUGACGGAGCAACGCCGCGUGAGUGAUGAAGGUCGUCGGAUCGUAAAACUCUGUUAUUAGGGAAGAACACAUGUGUAAGUAACUAUGCACGUCUUGACGGUACCUAAUCAGAAAGCCACGGCUAACUACGUG